RNAcentral lists this ribosomal RNA (431 nucleotides) under uncultured bacterium. RNAcentral's name for it is "partial 16S ribosomal RNA". It matches the Rfam family "Bacterial small subunit ribosomal RNA", at positions 29 to 507 of the family's 1533-position model. The record is from RNAcentral.
AACGAACGCUGGCGGCAGGCUUAACACAUGCAAGUCGAACGCCCCGCAAGGGGAGUGGCAGCCGGGUGAGUAACACGUGGGAACAUGCCCAAAGGUACGGAAUAUUCUCGGGAAACUGAGAGCAAUACCGUAUGUGCCCGAAAGGGGAAAGAUUUAUCGCCUUUGGAUUGGCCCGCGUCGGAUUAGCUAGUUGGUGGGGUAAAAGCCUACCAAGGCGACGAUCCGUAGCUGGUCUGAGAGGACGACCAGCCACACUGGGACUGAGACACGGCCCAGACUCCUACGGGAGGCAGCAGUGGGGAAUCUUGGACAAUGGGCGCAAGCCUGAUCCAGCCAUGCCGCGUGGAUGAUGAAGGCCCUAGGGUUGUAAAAUCCUUUCGUUGGGGACGAUAAUGACGGUACCCAAAGAAGAAGCUCCGGCUAACUUCGUG